Molecule: non-coding RNA, 27 nt
Filed under: Rattus norvegicus (Norway rat)
Lineage: Eukaryota; Metazoa; Chordata; Mammalia; Rodentia; Muridae
Source: RNAcentral
UGAGACUGUGGCUAAAAUACUGUUGCU